CAGUAGCCACGGGAAUACGUAGGUGGCAAGCGUUGUCCGGAAUUAUUGGGCGUAAAGGGCUCGCAGGCGGUUUCUUAAGUCUGAUGUGAAAGCCCCCGGCUCAACCGGGGAGGGUCAUUGGAAACUGGGAAACUUGAGUGCAGAAGAGGAGAGUGGAAUUCCACGUGUAGCGGUGAAAUGCGUAGAGAUGUGGAGGAUCACCAGUGGCGAAGGCGACUCUCUGGUCUGUAACUGACGCUGAGGAGCGAAAGCGUGGGGAGCGAACAGGAUUAGAUACCCCUGUAGUCCCUGUCUCUUAUAC
Molecule: ribosomal RNA, 301 nt
Filed under: uncultured bacterium
Lineage: Bacteria
Description: partial 16S ribosomal RNA
Rfam family: Bacterial small subunit ribosomal RNA
Source: RNAcentral